AUUGAACGCUGGCGGCAGGCCUAACACAUGCAAGUCGAGCGGAUGAAGGGAGCUUGCUCCUGGAUUCAGGGGCGGACGGGUGAGUAAUGCCUAGGAAUCUGCCUGGUAGUGGGGGAUAACGUCCGGAAACGGGCGCUAAUACCGCAUACGUCCUGAGGGAGAAAGUGGGGGAUCUUCGGACCUCGCGCUAUCAGAUGAGCCUAGGUCGGAUUAGCUAGUUGGUGGGGUAAAGGCCUACCAAGGCGACGAUCCGUAACUGGUCUGAGAGGAUGAUCAGUCACACUGGAACUGAGACACGGUCCAGACUCCUACGGGAGGCAGCAGUGGGGAAUAUUGGACAAUGGGCGAAAGCCUGAUCCAGCCAUGCCGCGUGUGUGAAGAAGGUCUUCGGAUUGUAAAGCACUUUAAGUUGGGAGGAAGGGCAGUAAGUUAAUACCUUGCUGUUUUGACGUUACCAACAGAAUAAGCACCGGCUAACUUCGUG
RNAcentral lists this ribosomal RNA (484 nucleotides) under uncultured bacterium. RNAcentral's name for it is "partial 16S ribosomal RNA". It matches the Rfam family "Bacterial small subunit ribosomal RNA", at positions 30 to 507 of the family's 1533-position model. The record is from RNAcentral.